AGCCCGUGCAUAUUGCAACACAUUAGACAUUGGAACGCGGAGAUCCUGAGCACCUAUAAGAAAGAUUGUCGGUGUUUUGACCUUUCCAAUGUGUGAUAUAGGGGACUUGCUGUGAAAUAGACCCAGGUCCUCAGCUGAAGGUGCUUCCGUGAAUUUAUUUUUCCCAUCAAUCCCAUAAGUUUCCACAUAGCACCAAUCAGGAAUAUCUGUUG
This 212-nucleotide unclassified non-coding RNA is filed under the name Hevea brasiliensis (rubber tree). The record is from RNAcentral. Lineage: Eukaryota; Viridiplantae; Streptophyta; Magnoliopsida; Malpighiales; Euphorbiaceae.